AGAGUUUGAUCAUGGCUCAGGACGAACGCUGGCGGCGUGCUUAACACAUGCAAGUCGAACGGAAAGGCCCUUCGGGGUACUCGAGUGGCGAACGGGUGAGUAACACGUGGGUGAUCUGCCCUGCACUUUGGGAUAAGCCUGGGAAACUGGGUCUAAUACCGAAUAGGACUGCGCUCUUCAUGGGGUGUGGUGGAAAGCUUUUGCGGUGUGGGAUGGGCCCGCGGCCUAUCAGCUUGUUGGUGGGGUAAUGGCCUACCAAGGCGACGACGGGUAGCCGGCCUGAGAGGGUGACCGGCCACACUGGGACUGAGAUACGGCCCAGACUCCUACGGGAGGCAGCAGUGGGGAAUAUUGCACAAUGGGCGCAAGCCUGAUGCAGCGACGCCGCGUGGGGGAUGACGGCCUUCGGGUUGUAAACCUCUUUCACCAUCGACGAAGGUUCGGGUUUUCUCGGAUUGACGGUAGGUGGAGAAGAAGCACCGGCCAACUACGUGCCAGCAGCCGCGGUAAUACGUAGGGUGCGAGCGUUGUCCGGAAUUACUGGGCGUAAAGAGCUCGUAGGUGGUUUGUCGCGUUGUUCGUGAAAUCUCACGGCUUAACUGUGAGCGUGCGGGCGAUACGGGCAGACUUGAGUACUGCAGGGGAGACUGGAAUUCCUGGUGUAGCGGUGGAAUGCGCAGAUAUCAGGAGGAACACCGGUGGCGUAGGCGACUAGCUGGGCUGUAACUGACGCUGAGGAACGAAAGCCAGGGGAGCAAAUGGGAUUAGAUACCCCGGUAGUCC
This 783-nucleotide ribosomal RNA is filed under the name uncultured bacterium. RNAcentral describes it as "bacterial SSU rRNA". It matches the Rfam family "Bacterial small subunit ribosomal RNA", at positions 8 to 796 of the family's 1533-position model. The record is from RNAcentral.